This 468-nucleotide ribosomal RNA is filed under the name uncultured bacterium. RNAcentral describes it as "partial 16S ribosomal RNA". It matches the Rfam family "Bacterial small subunit ribosomal RNA", at positions 28 to 506 of the family's 1533-position model. The record is from RNAcentral.
GAUGAACGCUGGCGGCGUGCUUAACACAUGCAAGUCGAACGGUGAACACGGAGCUUGCUCUGUGGGAUCAGUGGCGAACGGGUGAGUAACACGUGAGCAACCUGCCCCUGACUCUGGGAUAGGCGCUGGAAACGGCGUCUAAUACUGGAUAUGUGACGUGACCGCAUGGUCUGCGUUUGGAAAGAUUUUUCGGUUGGGGAUGGGCUCGCGGCCUAUCAGCUUGUUGGUGAGGUAAUGGCUCACCAAGGCGUCGACGGGUAGCCGGCCUGAGAGGGUGACCGGCCACACUGGGACUGAGACACGGCCCAGACUCCUACGGGAGGCAGCAGUGGGGAAUAUUGCACAAUGGGCGCAAGCCUGAUGCAGCAACGCCGCGUGAGGGAUGACGGCCUUCGGGUUGUAAACCUCUUUUAGCAGGGAAGAAGCGAAAGUGACGGUACCUGCAGAAAAAGCGCCGGCUAACUACGU